GACGAACGCUGGCGGCGUGCUUAACACAUGCAAGUCGAACGGAAAGGCCCUGCUUUUGUGGGGUGCUCGAGUUGCGAACGGGUGAGUAACACGUGAGUAACCUGCCCUUGACUUUGGGAUAACUUCAGGAAACUGGGUCUAAUACCGGAUAGGAUCUCCUGCUGCUUGGUGGGGGUUGGAAAGUUUCGGCGGUUGGGGAUGGACUCGCGGCUUAUCAGCUUGUUGGGGGGGUAGUGGCUUACCAAGGCUUUGACGGGUAGCCGGCCUGAGAGGGUGACCGGCCACAUUGGGACUGAGAUACGGCACAGACUACUACGGGAGGCAGGAGUGGGGAAUAUUGCACAAUGGGAGGAAGCCUGAUGCAGCAACGCCGCGUGCGGGAUGACGGCCUUCGGGUUGUAAACCGCUUUCGCCUGUGACGAAGCGUGAGUGACGGUAAUGGGUAAAGAAGCACCGGCUAACUACGUG
RNAcentral lists this ribosomal RNA (468 nucleotides) under uncultured bacterium. RNAcentral describes it as "partial 16S ribosomal RNA". It matches the Rfam family "Bacterial small subunit ribosomal RNA", at positions 28 to 507 of the family's 1533-position model. The record is from RNAcentral.